Molecule: non-coding RNA, 2411 nt
Organism: Paramuricea clavata
Lineage: Eukaryota; Metazoa; Cnidaria; Anthozoa; Malacalcyonacea; Plexauridae
Source: the annotation of a GenBank genome assembly
AACAUUCAUAAGUGUUAAGUGUUAAUUUUUUCUGUGAAGAUACGCACAAGGAAAUCGCAAAUGUUUUUAAAACAAAAAGUAAAGUCACUAUUUUAAAGUAAGUAACUUUUAGUUUUGUUUAAAACGUUUAAUUGCAUUUGAUGAGAGGUUUUAAUUUUCCUUAUCUGAUGUGCCUUUAUAAAGUAUCGAUCAGGCCAUCUGUCUCAAUUUUGUGGCUUGAAAGAAGUGAAAAAUGAAUACAAUAGAGGUCCAUAGUUUGAAAUGAAUAAAGAAAAAUAUUAAAUUGUGAGUUAAUUUGUUUUGGUGACAUUCAAAAUCCAUAUUCAGUAAAGUAAAUGAAAAACUAUGGCUCCCUUUGGGCAAAUAGAAAAUAAUCAAUGAUAAAUUCAUUAAAUUGUACAUUCUGUGUACUAUAAAUACAGCAUUAGCACACACUUGUACGUUAAUGUGGCAAAUAGACAGAUUUUCUGUGAAGAUGAACCAUGUCCUUGCUUGAUUUGUCUUCUCAGAGAAACGUGUCUUCAUCGAUCAUAAUUUGUCUGUACAUAUUGUAAAUACAUAUUGGCUCAUUCCAGAACAGAUCCACACUCUCCCUACAGAGGAAAGUUCUGCUGUUCGGAAGGGGAGCGGGCAAACUCUGCAAUGUUGGCAAAAGCUAGACUUGUUUGAACAGGGCUUAAUUAAAUUGGCAGUAUUUAUAUAUUUCCAGGAUUUAAGACCAAGAUGAAAAUCAGGAUUGGAGAAAUCAUUUUACUACAUAUAACUAUUUUAUUCAACCACAUCCAUGUCAGAGUCACUGCAAUGAAUCUAACCCACCUCCCUACCUCCCACAUACCAACACCAACCCAUACCAUACCCUUUAUCUUGAAUGGUAUGGGCACCACAGUUGCUAUGCCAAUCCACAUAUCACAUGGCAUAAACCAAACCCACAUUGGUGUUAGUUCCAAAAUUCUAGUCGCUCCAUCAUCGAGCAGGAUUAUGAUCGCAAGCCAUAUUAAAACAGCCAACCCAGUGCCAAAAAGUUCAAGUGUAUCCACAACCGUCACCACAUCAAUUUGGUCAACAUCAACCAUUAUCCCUAAAUCACCCUCAACUUCUCACCCUUUAUCACCCUCAAUGCCCUAUCCUACUAACAAUACCACCUCGCCAUCCCCCACCCAUAAACCGCCUAAGACAACGUCAUCGAGUCAACCCUUCAUACACAAAGUUGGAUUGAUUGUCGGAGUCGUGUUAGGACUGGUUGUACUAUCAGUAUGUCUGAUUGCAUUUCAUAAAAAAGAAACUCGUAUCAAGUGUUUGAAGUUAAUGUGCAGGCCGUGCACAAAAAAUUACAGUAGCCGAUAUAAUAUUGUACCGAUAUAUGUAUAUGAUGAUGCUGAACAAGAUAUACGAGAACUACAGGAUGACAGUGACCUGCCUUUGGUGUAGUCUGUUAUUUUACUUUGCCUAUAGUAUCACACAAUUUUGAUUGUCAAAGGCAGAGUUUGAGGGGUUAAUUGAUAAGCAGGGUUCUGCCUAAAUUCAAACUAAUUUAAGUGGGUUUCAACUUGCCAAAGUGUAAGUUGAAAUUGACAGGCAGUUGAAAAGCAUGGGUGGCCAAUCAUUUGCGGUUAGCAUAUUGCUCCCUUCAUCUGCCGCUAAUACGACUGAUAAUACUGUUUAUUAAUAAUGCGUUAUUCACAGAUGUAUAGAUUAAUUUAUUGAGCAAUAAUUUUUCAUUGAUAUAUAGGAUGACUUGAUAUUAAAUUUAGUAACCAGAUGUUAUUCCGUGGCAUACAUGCAGUUACUGAGCGGACAAAACAAUUUGAAACUUCAACCUCUGCCAAAUUAACUGAUUAACCCAAACUUUGCUUUGACCACUGUAGAUUAUAGAUGCUUAAUAUUAUAUAGAAAGUAUGUAGAGGCCCACCAAGGGUACAACCUAUAGGUCGCUUGUCACUAAUUUUGUAGCUGCUUUGUCGCUUGUUUUAUUGUAUUAAAUGUCGCUGUCACUUUUAACCCAUGACACAAAUUGCAAUUUGUCGCUUUUUCCCGGUCAGAAGCUGUCGUUUGUCACUCUUUUUUAGACAGUCUGUCACCUCUUUUUUAAGGAAUGUCGCCUGUCGGUCAUAACCCCUUGGUGGGCCUCUAUAUGUAACAUAGUGGAGAAAAUUCUUUGAAAAAGUUGAACAUAUUUAAAAGUUAGAAAUAAUGAUCAAGGGGGAAUGCCCUUAUUGAACUUAUUUAAAGAGAUCCAACAGAGACAACAGUAUAUUUAUUCUAGUUCCAAUCAAUAAAUGUAUAUUUAUCUGUUGGACAGUUUAUUAGAAUUGAUAGAAAUAUAAUCAAAGCUAGGUUAACUAUGAUAUGUGUUUUCUUUUAAUUUUGAAUUUUAUACAUACUCAGAAAUAUUUGAUGAUGUACGUUACUCC